GACGAACGCUGGCGGCGUGCCUAAUACAUGCAAGUAGAACGCUGAAGGAGGAGCUUACUUCUCUGGAUGAGUUGCGAACGGGUGAGUAACGCGUAGGUAACCUGCCUGGUAGCGGGGGAUAACUAUUGGAAACGAUAGCUAAUACCGCAUAAGAGUAGAUGUUGCAUGACAUUUACUUAAAAGGUGCAAUUGCACCACUACCAGAUGGACCUGCGUUGUAUUAGCUAGUUGGUGGGGUAACGGCUUACCAAGGCGGCGAUACAUAGCCGACCUGAGAGGGUGAUCGGCCACACUGGGACUGAGACACGGCCCAGACUCCUACGGGAGGCAGCAGUAGGGAAUCUUCGGCAAUGGACGGAAGUCUGACCGAGCAACGCCGCGUGAGUGAAGAAGGUUUUCGGAUCGUAAAGCUCUGUUGUAAGAGAAGAACGAGUGUGAGAGUGGAAAGUUCACACUGUGGCGGUAUCUUACCAGAAAGGGACGGCUAACUACAUGCCAGCCGCCGCGGUAA
Molecule: ribosomal RNA, 511 nt
Filed under: uncultured bacterium
Lineage: Bacteria
Description: partial 16S ribosomal RNA
Rfam family: Bacterial small subunit ribosomal RNA
Source: RNAcentral